This 195-nucleotide non-coding RNA is filed under the name human gut metagenome. The record is from RNAcentral.
AGAACUGAUAGUUUGAUAGGUGGAAUGAUGGGGUAACGCCCUGAAACGCCUACCCUUGAUGGGCGUGCAUCGGCUGUAAUGGCUGGUGUACGAAGCCCCAUGACAACGGCUGAGAGCAACCGUAGUCACUGCAUAGCAGUGGCCGAAAGCAGUCUGGAGGCAGAUUGUGUUGCCUAUAGGCCAAGGGUCUAUAAA